CACAGAAUGGGGAGUAGAGGAUUUCUCAUUCACAACCAAAGCAGCAGCGUCCAGGUGCAUCCCCUUCCUCCGUCAAAACCACGCCCAUUUCAUUCUUCUCAAUUCCCAAUUCCAAAUUAGGGUUAGGGUUUUCACAAUCUCAAUGACCUUCUCUUCUUCCUUCACCUUACAAUCCCUAUUCCACUACCGCUACUACUACUCCCUUUGUCUUCGUCGUUGUCGUUCGUAAGGAUUAAUCAAUUAACCUAUCGAAUCGUUUCAGUAUCUUCUUCUUCUUUUUCUUCCAUGGACCUCUCUCACCCUCAGUCUAACUUGUCCCUCGGAUUUUCUUCCUCCCACGCUUCGCCGCCUCCUCGCUCCGACCCGCCGGUGCCGCUGCAGCUCAUGGAACCGCAGACGGAGAAUGGCAACUUAGAUGUUGAAUCGGACGACGAUGAGGACAAAGAAGUCGAGGAGUUUCGCAUUCUAGGCCACUCAAUGUGCCUCAAGAGGCGAAGAGAUUGCGACUCCUCAUCCUCCUCCUCCGCCGCCAAGAGGGUUUCCGUCGAGCCCGAUCUCGACGCGCGUAAGGCAGCGGUGCGCGCGUGGGGUUGCCAACCCCUCUCCAUCGCGGACCCCGACGUCCACGAGAUAAUGGAAAAAGAGAAGAAACGUCAAUUUCGCGGGAUUGAACUCAUAGCCUCCGAGAAUUUCGUGUGCAGAGCCGUGAUGGAAGCGUUGGGAAGCCACUUGACGAACAAGUACUCUGAGGGAAUGCCCGGUGCGCGCUACUACGGCGGGAACCAGUACAUCGACGAAAUCGAAACGCUCUGUUGCGAACGUGCUUUGAACGCGUUCGGUCUCGACCCCAAGUGUUGGGGAGUGAACGUGCAGCCAUAUUCGUGCACAUCUGCUAAUUUUGCUGUUUACACGGGGUUGUUGCUGCCCGGUGAUCGUAUCAUGGGGUUGGAUACUCCUUCUGGAGGGAACACUAGUCACGGUUACUAUACUCCCAAUGGGAAGAAAGUUUCUGGGGCUUCCAUUUUCUUUGAGAGCUUGCCCUACAAGGUGAACCCUCAAACGGGUUAUAUUGAUUACGAUAAGCUUGAGGAAAGGGCGCUUGAUUUUCGCCCCAAGAUACUUAUUUGUGGUGGGAGCUCCUACCCUCGAGAGUGGGAUUAUGCGAGGUUUAGGCACAUUGCGGAUAAGUGUGGAGCUGUGUUGUUGUGUGACAUGGCACAGAUUAGUGGCAUAAUUGCAGCCAAGGAGUGUGUGAAUCCUUUUGAUUAUUGUGACAUUGUUACUUCGACAACUCACAAGAGUCUUCGAGGUCCAAGGGGAGGCAUAAUUUUUUAUCGAAAGGGUACAAAGCCAAGGAAGAGAGGGAUACUUCUAAGUCAGGGACAUGAAAGUGAUCAAUAUGACUUUGAAGAAAAGAUAAAUUUUGCUGUUUUUCCAUCAAUGCAAGGGGGGCCACACAAUAACCACAUUGCUGCGCUUGCUAUAGCUUUAAAACAAGUUGCUACUCCUGAGUAUAAGGCAUACAUGCAGCAGGUGAAGAAGAAUGCUCAAGCUUUAGCAUGUGCUUUACUGAGAAGAAAAUGCCGUCUAGUAACUGGGGGUACAGACAACCAUCUAAUACUUUGGGAUUUAAGGCCCCUGGGAUUGACAGGUAAAUUUUAUGAGAAGGUCUGUGAAACAUGUCAUAUUACUUUGAAUAAAAUUGCUAUUUUUGGCGACAAUGGAACUAUAAUUCCUGGAGGUGUAAGAGUAGGUACCCCUGCCAUGACGUCAAGAGGAUGUCUGGAAGCUCAUUUUGAGACAAUGGCUGAAUUUCUCAUUAGAGCUGCACAAAUUGCAAGCAUACUGCAGAGGGAGCAUGGGAAAUUGCAGAAGACAACAUUGAAGGGACUUGAGAGCAAUAGAGACGUCGUUGAGCUCCGGGCACGGGUUGAAGCUUUUGCAACUCAGUUUGCCAUGCCGGGUUUUGACAUUUGAACAUGAAGUGGCCGGUGAAUUGCCAUUAUUGAUUAUUUACAUAUGCGACAAUGGUGGGUCGUUGUGCCCGCUUUUUACAAAAGCACAUCUUGUUCUUAUAUUUUGUGGAGCUUCUCUCUUCUCUGCAUUGUAUGCAGUUGUCAGAUUUUCACAUCUUGCAGUGAGUUGCAAUCUGGUACAAGACAGUAUGUAAGUAGGUACUUCCGUACUGCUGUUGAGGUUUUGUCUGGUGAUCAAGUAUCUUGUUCCUACCUUGGAGGCUGCACCAUCCCAGCGGAAUGCAUCAAGUUAAGCCAUUAUAGGGGUUGGAACAGGGAUUCUUGAUCAACCAACCUGAGUACAGAAUUCUUCUGGUGAAUCUGCAGAAAAUAAUUACUCUGAUAAAAAGAAGCGCUUGAGUUCAUCCGCAAGUUUUGUCAGUGCGGUUUGUUUGAUGUACUCGGCGCAAGGGAAUUAAAUUGUUGCAGGUCAAUUGAGAUUUGAGGGGCAGUCACAAGAUAUCUUCUCAAACCAUUAAAGCUUGGGUUGGAUCGUGGCAUCAUCUUGGGGAUUAAACCUUUUAUCUCACUUGCUAAUGUAAGAAGGUUGCGUAUUUUGUGAUCGGUAUUAUAUGCAUAUGUUAUGCAACAGAUUUUUUUAUUACUCUUUCCAAAAUACAUUAUCCAAUUUAGUGUUUUUUUCAA
This is an RNA transcript of Glycine soja, 2660 nucleotides long. It is a transcript of the gene named serine hydroxymethyltransferase 7-like, with no coding region annotated. NCBI's taxonomy places the organism in Eukaryota, Viridiplantae, Streptophyta, Magnoliopsida, Fabales, Fabaceae. The transcript is spliced from 6 exons. The record is from RefSeq and is a predicted model, not a curated record.